This 391-nucleotide unclassified non-coding RNA is filed under the name soil metagenome. Its description in RNAcentral is "partial contains 5.8S ribosomal RNA, internal transcribed spacer 2, and large subunit ribosomal RNA". The stretch from base 1 to 122 matches the Rfam family "5.8S ribosomal RNA", at positions 35 to 154 of the family's 154-position model. The record is from RNAcentral.
GAUGAAGAACGUAGUGAAAUGCGAUACUUGGUGUGAAUUGCAGAAUCCCGUGAACCAUCGAGUCUUUGAACGCAAGUUGCGCCCGAAGCCAUUAGGCCGAGGGCACGCCUGCCUGGGCGUCACACGUCGUUGCCCCCCCGUCUACUCCUUCGGGAUUGCGGGGGGCGGAUGAUGGCCUCCCGUGCGCCUCGUCGUGCGGUUGGCAUAAAUGCCAAGUCCUCGGCGACGCACGCCACGACAAUCGGUGGUUGCGAAACCUCGGUUGCCCGUCGUGUGCGGUCGUCGCGCAUCGAGGGCUCGAAAAAAUUGCCGGGCUCUGUCUCGGCUUUCAACGCGACCCCAGGUCAGGCGGGGUUACCCGCUGAAUUUAAGCAUAUCAAUAAGCGGAGGA